CCUACGGGAGGCAGCAGUGAGGAAUAUUGGUCAAUGGACGCAAGUCUGAACCAGCCAAGCCGCGUGCAGGAAGACGGCUCUAUGAGUUGUAAACUGCUUUUGUACGAGGGUAAACGCAGAUACGCGUAUCUGUCUGCAAGUAUCGUACGAAUAAGGAUCGGCUAACUCCGUGCCAGCAGCCGCGGUAAUACGGAGGAUUCAAGCGUUCUCCGGAUUUAUUGGGUUUAAAGGGUGCGUAGGCGGGCGGUUAAGUUAGAGGUGAAAUCCCGAGGCUCAACUGCGGAAUUGCCUCUGAUACUGGUCGGCUAGAGAGUAGUUGAGGUAGGCGGAAUGGAUGGUGUAGCGGUGAAAUGCUUAGAGAUCACACAGAACACCGAUUGCGAAGGCAGCUUACCAAGCUACUUCUGACGCUGAGGCACGAAAGCGUGGGUAGCAAACAGGAUUAGAUACCCUGGUAGUC
RNAcentral lists this ribosomal RNA (460 nucleotides) under uncultured bacterium. RNAcentral describes it as "partial 16S ribosomal RNA". It matches the Rfam family "Bacterial small subunit ribosomal RNA", at positions 338 to 795 of the family's 1533-position model. The record is from RNAcentral.